This 119-nucleotide ribosomal RNA is filed under the name Pteropus alecto (black flying fox). The record is from RNAcentral. Lineage: Eukaryota; Metazoa; Chordata; Mammalia; Chiroptera; Pteropodidae. RNAcentral also lists the same sequence under 1 other name.
GUAUAUAGCCAUGCUACCCUGAACAAGCCUGAUCCUGUCUGAUCUUGGAAGCUAAGCAGGGUUGGGCCUGGUUACUACUUGGAUGGGAGACCACCUAGGAAGACCAGGUGCUGUAGGCA